UCAGCCAUCUCAGUGCUAGGAUUACAGCCACACCCAACUACUCCGUUACAGCCUCAUAAAAUGAGUUUGGGAAGUGACCCUUUGCUUCUGUUCUGAAAGAAUCUGUGUAAGAUUGGCAUUAUUCCUUCCUCAAAUAAUUGUUAGAAAUCAACAAUAAAGCCAUGUGAGCCUGAA
Long non-coding RNA from Chinchilla lanigera (long-tailed chinchilla), 174 nucleotides. RefSeq lists it as uncharacterized. The record is from RefSeq and is a predicted model, not a curated record. The transcript has 2 exons. NCBI's taxonomy places the organism in Eukaryota, Metazoa, Chordata, Mammalia, Rodentia, Chinchillidae.